This is a non-coding RNA of Triticum aestivum (bread wheat), 115 nucleotides long. Lineage: Eukaryota; Viridiplantae; Streptophyta; Magnoliopsida; Poales; Poaceae. The record is from Rfam.
CAUGUACUCCCUCCGUUCCAAAUUACUCGUCGUAGAAAUGAAUGUAUCUAGAACUAAAAUACAUCUAGAUACAUCCAUUUCUGCGACGAGUAAUUCGGAACGGAGGGAGUACCAG